CGGACGGGUGAGUAAUGCAUAGGAAUCUGCCCGGUAGUGGGGGAUAACCUGGGGAAACCCAGGCUAAUACCGCAUACGUCCUACGGGAGAAAGCAGGGGCUCUUCGGACCUUGCGCUAUCGGAUGAGCCUAUGCCGGAUUAUGUGUUUGUUGAGGUAAUGGCUCACCAAGCCGACGAUCCGUAGCUGGUUUGAGAGGAUGAUCGGACACGUCGGGACUGAGACACGGACCGAACUCAUACGGGAGGCAGCAGUGGGGAAUAUUGGACAAUGGGCGCAAGCGUGAUCCAGCCAUGCCGCGUGUGUGAAGAAGGCCUUCGGGUUGUAAAGCACUUUCAGUGGGGAAGAAAGCCUGCCGGCGAAUACCCGGGAGGAAGGACAUCACCCACAGAAGAAGCACCGGCUAACUCCGUGCCAGCAGCCGCGGUAAUACGGAGGGUGCGAGCGUUAAUCGGAAUUUCUGGGCGUAAAGCGCGCGUAGGUGGCUUGAUAAGCCGGUUGUGAAAGCCCUGGGCUCAACCUGGGAACGGCAUCCGGAACUGUCAGGCUAGAGUGCAGGAGAGGAAGGUAGAAUUCCCGGUGUAGCUCUGAAAUGCGUAGAGAUCGGGAGGAAUACCAGUGGCGAAGGCGGCCUUCUGGACUGACACUGACACUGAGGUGCGAAAGCGUGGGUAGCAAACAGGAUUAGAUACCCUGGUAGUCCACGCCGUAAACGAUGUCGACUAGCCGUUGGG
This 732-nucleotide ribosomal RNA is filed under the name uncultured bacterium. RNAcentral's name for it is "bacterial SSU rRNA". It matches the Rfam family "Bacterial small subunit ribosomal RNA", at positions 99 to 827 of the family's 1533-position model. The record is from RNAcentral.